GCGCUCACUUGGGCAGCACACAUACUAACAUUGGAAUGAUACAGAUAUUAGCAUGGCCCAAAGAUGACAAGACAAUUUGUGAAGUGUUCCAUAUUAAA
This 98-nucleotide small nuclear RNA is filed under the name Peromyscus maniculatus bairdii (prairie deer mouse). The record is from RNAcentral. Lineage: Eukaryota; Metazoa; Chordata; Mammalia; Rodentia; Cricetidae.